AAAAAUCUGCAUCUGCGUACACCCGAUCAAAUGACUCUCCCCUCUCUCACUCCUUCGUAUUCCCUUUCUUCCUCGCUUUUUCCACUCAAUCCCUGAAGCUCUCGACCCCCUCAUCCCGCAUGGCGCUCGACCCAAACGGUAGCAGAGCUCAAUUCAGACGAUGAAGAAGACCCAAACGGUGGUCUGAAAAAAUGGAGAUGUCGGCGUCGGACUGAGAUGGUGGCAGUGGAACUAAGCUUUGUUGGGCGGCAAGGAUUGAUGGCUGUGCAAAGCAACGCUGAGCUUGGAGCGAAGACGGAAUGAACCUGAGAGAGAAUGGAGAUGCUAAUUUCUGGGCUGCUUUUCAGGCUUUGACAGACGGACCGCUCCACAGCGCCUCGCAAAAAAAAAUAUAAAAAAAACUACCCUCUGCUCCUAUUAACGAAAACAUCCAAAACCCAAAAAGUAAUCUCACCGACUCCACUCUCCACUAAAAACAAGUAUUGAAUAAAAAUAAGAAACAAUGAAUGCCCUUCCAGGUCUUGCGUGAUUUCCUCUGGCAGUCCUGCAUGCCCCUG
Molecule: long non-coding RNA, 557 nt
Organism: Carya illinoinensis
Lineage: Eukaryota; Viridiplantae; Streptophyta; Magnoliopsida; Fagales; Juglandaceae
Exons: 3
Source: RefSeq, a predicted model, not a curated record